GCCUCUUCUCUCUCUCUCUCUCCCUCUGCCUUACUCUUCACCCUCCCAUCGCAAACCCUAGCUACCCUACACACCUUCUCGAUUUUCCAUGAUUACUCUCCAUAUCUUCAACUGAGCUUUCUCUUCCGAUUCGGUGGUUGAGGGAGGAUAAUUGGUGAAACCCAUUCACGCAGAGCUUCGUGAGAAGAAUUUUCUGAUGGCGGCUUCCACCACGAGCCAGGUCUAUAUUGAUGUAAUCGAGGAUGUCAUGGUCAAGGUUCGGGAUGAGUUCGUUAACAACGGUGGCCCCGGGGAGGAAGUUCUCAAGGAGCUUCAAGCUAUGUGGGAAUCGAAGAUGAUUCAAGCUGGUGUUGUGCUUGGUCCCAUAGAAAGGUCCACUGCUGCUAAGCCAAUGCCUGGUGGUCCAAUUACUCCGGUUCAUGAUCUUAACAUGCCGUAUGAGGGGACCGAGGAGUAUGAAACUCCUACAGCUGAAAUUCUUUUCCCCCCUACCCCAUUGCAAACUCCAAUUCAAACCCCUUUACCAGGAACUGGGGAUAACUCAACGUAUAACAUUCCUACUGGACCAAGUGACUACCCCUCUUCUGGAAAUGACACUGGAGGAAAUGGUGAUGUAAAAGGAGGAAGACCUGGUCCAUACAUGCAACCUCCUUCUCCUUGGAUGAACCAGAGGCAAUCACUUGAUGUCAAUGUUGCUUAUGUGGAAGGGCGGGAUGAGGCAGACAGAGGAAAUUCUAAUCAACCUCUGACACAGGACUUCCUCACAAUGUCAUCAGGAAAGCGAAAACGAAAUGAUAUGACUUCGCAGUUUAAUGCUGGUGGAUAUAUACCUCAGCAAGAUGGAGCUGGCGAUGCUGCAUCUGGAGUUUUUGAAAUUGAGGUAGAUGGAGGGGGCAUCUCCAUUCAUUCGCAUCAUACUAUUUUCAAAGGGAAAAUGCCUACAAAUUUGGAGAGGCCAGGUUCAAGGAUUCCUCAACUUGAUGGACCAAUUCCUUAUGAUGAUGAUGUGCUGUCUACCCCUAAUGUUAAUCAUAUAUACAAUUAUGGAGUCUUCAAUGAAGAUUACAACAUUUCCAAUACUCCAGCUCCUCCUGGUAAAUUGAGAAUAAGUACCAGCAAGUACCCCUGCUCUCUUGGCCCAAAAUGAAGAGGGAAAUGAUGAUGAUGUUGAUGAUGAUGAUGAUGAACCUCCAUUAAAUGAAAAUGAUGAUGAUGAUUUGGAUGACCUCGAACAAGGAGAGGAUCAAAAUACACAUCAUCUUGUUUUGGCCCAGUUUGACAAGGUGACACGUACCAAGAGCAGGUGGAAAUGCACAUUAAAGGAUGGCAUCAUGCACAUAAAUAAUAAGGACAUUCUCUUCAAUAAGGUUUGUUGAUCUUUAAGGAGAACAAAUAAUGAUAUUUUCUGUUUAUCAAAUUGCCACGAUGGGUGAUGCUAUUCACACCUCUGCAGGCGACAGGAGAGUUUGACUUUUGAUUUUGUUGGGGGGGGGGCCAGUGCUUUGGUGUGGCAUGAUACAGAGGUGUCAUUGAGUGUUUCGUGAUCUUUCUUUGGUUAUAAUUAUUAAGUGAAAGAUUGAUGAAGAGAGAAAUCCUUUACACUUUUCGAGACUGUUGUUUUGAUGUUGGCCUCUUGUACAUAAAGGAUGAGCAUUUUUGGCCUUUACCUGAUGGUUAGAGACUGACAUUUCCUUAAGCCCACCAUUCGUCAAGUAUGUGGUUCCUUCAGUUCUUCUGUAUACUUUGGACAUUUUGGUUAAUGUAAGAAUCCCAGUGUAUGAUAAUGAUGGUUUAUUAGGCUUGGUUUAAAUUGUGUCUUUCUUGCUUAGCUUUGGACCCUAAAACUGGGAGAUAACAUUGUGUACUGUGUAGGUCUUCUAAGUUCUGGCGUAGUGUAUUGAUAUUUGAAACUUUAGACGAUCAAGAAAAAGGAAAAUAAGAAUUGAUAUAUUAAGCUUCAAAAAAAUGUUUUCUAUAAUUUUGUCAUGUAUAUGCUCUUCUUGAUUAAUGACCGAUUUUAGUAACCUUUUUUUAUUCGUAUAUCAUGUCGGCUUUACGAGUUUAAAAUGAAGACCCUAUGGUCUGUUGACUACUAUUAUUUGACCAUUAGGAUAAGCGAGUUCGUCCUUCAGGUUGACGAAGGCUAACAACACAUUUGUCUACAGCACUUAAUAGGGUGAAGUUAUGUGUCUCACUAAAU
RNA transcript from Abrus precatorius (Indian licorice), 2200 nucleotides. It is a transcript of the gene named transcription initiation factor IIA large subunit-like, with no coding region annotated. The transcript is spliced from 10 exons. The record is from RefSeq and is a predicted model, not a curated record. NCBI's taxonomy places the organism in Eukaryota, Viridiplantae, Streptophyta, Magnoliopsida, Fabales, Fabaceae.